RNAcentral lists this ribosomal RNA (253 nucleotides) under uncultured bacterium. RNAcentral describes it as "partial 16S ribosomal RNA". It matches the Rfam family "Bacterial small subunit ribosomal RNA", at positions 524 to 776 of the family's 1533-position model. The record is from RNAcentral.
UACGUAGGUGGCAAGCGUUGUCCGGAUUUACUGGGCGUAAAGGGCGCGUAGGCGGCCUUGUCAGUCAGGCGUGAAAGCCCCGGGCUCAACCUGGGAACUGCGUUUGAUACGGAUGGGCUAGAGUUCGGGAGAGGAGAGUGGAAUUCCCAGUGUAGAGGUGAAAUUCGUAGAUAUUGGGAAGAACACCGGUGGCGAAGGCGGCUCUCUGGACCGAUACUGACGCUGAGGCGCGAAAGCGUGGGGAGCAAACAGG